This 2929-nucleotide ribosomal RNA is filed under the name Escherichia coli. RNAcentral's name for it is "bacterial LSU rRNA". It matches the Rfam family "Bacterial large subunit ribosomal RNA". Lineage: Bacteria; Pseudomonadati; Pseudomonadota; Gammaproteobacteria; Enterobacterales; Enterobacteriaceae. The record is from RNAcentral.
GGGUUGUGAGGUUAAGCGACUAAGCGUACACGGUGGAUGCCCUGGCAGUCAGAGGCGAUGAAGGACGUGCUAAUCUGCGAUAAGCGUCGGUAAGGUGAUAUGAACCGUUAUAACCGGCGAUUUCCGAAUGGGGAAACCCAGUGUGAUUCGUCACACUAUCAUUAACUGAAUCCAUAGGUUAAUGAGGCGAACCGGGGGAACUGAAACAUCUAAGUACCCCGAGGAAAAGAAAUCAACCGAGAUUCCCCCAGUAGCGGCGAGCGAACGGGGAGGAGCCCAGAGCCUGAAUCAGUGUGUGUGUUAGUGGAAGCGUCUGGAAAGGCGCGCGAUACAGGGUGACAGCCCCGUACACAAAAAUGCACAUACUGUGAGCUCGAUGAGUAGGGCGGGACACGUGGUAUCCUGUCUGAAUAUGGGGGGACCAUCCUCCAAGGCUAAAUACUCCUGACUGACCGAUAGUGAACCAGUACCGUGAGGGAAAGGCGAAAAGAACCCCGGCGAGGGGAGUGAAAAAGAACCUGAAACCGUGUACGUACAAGCAGUGGGAGCCUCUUUUAUGGGGUGACUGCGUACCUUUUGUAUAAUGGGUCAGCGACUUAUAUUCUGUAGCAAGGUUAACCGAAUAGGGGAGCCGAAGGGAAACCGAGUCUUAACCGGGCGUUAAGUUGCAGGGUAUAGACCCGAAACCCGGUGAUCUAGCCAUGGGCAGGUUGAAGGUUGGGUAACACUAACUGGAGGACCGAACCGACUAAUGUUGAAAAAUUAGCGGAUGACUUGUGGCUGGGGGUGAAAGGCCAAUCAAACCGGGAGAUAGCUGGUUCUCCCCGAAAGCUAUUUAGGUAGCGCCUCGUGAAUUCAUCUCCGGGGUAGAGCACUGUUUCGGCAAGGGGGUCAUCCCGACUUACCAACCCGAUGCAAACUGCGAAUACCGGAGAAUGUUAUCACGGGAGACACACGGCGGGUGCUAACGUCCGUCGUGAAGAGGGAAACAACCCAGACCGCCAGCUAAGGUCCCAAAGUCAUGGUUAAGUGGGAAACGAUGUGGGAAGGCCCAGACAGCCAGGAUGUUGGCUUAGAAGCAGCCAUCAUUUAAAGAAAGCGUAAUAGCUCACUGGUCGAGUCGGCCUGCGCGGAAGAUGUAACGGGGCUAAACCAUGCACCGAAGCUGCGGCAGCGACACUGUGUGUUGUUGGGUAGGGGAGCGUUCUGUAAGCCUGUGAAGGUGUACUGUGAGGUAUGCUGGAGGUAUCAGAAGUGCGAAUGCUGACAUAAGUAACGAUAAAGCGGGUGAAAAGCCCGCUCGCCGGAAGACCAAGGGUUCCUGUCCAACGUUAAUCGGGGCAGGGUGAGUCGACCCCUAAGGCGAGGCCGAAAGGCGUAGUCGAUGGGAAACAGGUUAAUAUUCCUGUACUUGGUGUUACUGCGAAGGGGGGACGGAGAAGGCUAUGUUGGCCGGGCGACGGUUGUCCCGGUUUAAGCGUGUAGGCUGGUUUUCCAGGCAAAUCCGGAAAAUCAAGGCUGAGGCGUGAUGACGAGGCACUACGGUGCUGAAGCAACAAAUGCCCUGCUUCCAGGAAAAGCCUCUAAGCAUCAGGUAACAUCAAAUCGUACCCCAAACCGACACAGGUGGUCAGGUAGAGAAUACCAAGGCGCUUGAGAGAACUCGGGUGAAGGAACUAGGCAAAAUGGUGCCGUAACUUCGGGAGAAGGCACGCUGAUAUGUAGGUGAAGUCCCUCGCGGAUGGAGCUGAAAUCAGUCGAAGAUACCAGCUGGCUGCAACUGUUUAUUAAAAACACAGCACUGUGCAAACACGAAAGUGGACGUAUACGGUGUGACGCCUGCCCGGUGCCGGAAGGUUAAUUGAUGGGGUCAGCGCAAGCGAAGCUCUUGAUCGAAGCCCCGGUAAACGGCGGCCGUAACUAUAACGGUCCUAAGGUAGCGAAAUUCCUUGUCGGGUAAGUUCCGACCUGCACGAAUGGCGUAAUGAUGGCCAGGCUGUCUCCACCCGAGACUCAGUGAAAUUGAACUCGCUGUGAAGAUGCAGUGUACCCGCGGCAAGACGGAAAGACCCCGUGAACCUUUACUAUAGCUUGACACUGAACAUUGAGCCUUGAUGUGUAGGAUAGGUGGGAGGCUUUGAAGUGUGGACGCCAGUCUGCAUGGAGCCGACCUUGAAAUACCACCCUUUAAUGUUUGAUGUUCUAACGUGGACCCGUGAUCCGGGUUGCGGACAGUGUCUGGUGGGUAGUUUGACUGGGGCGGUCUCCUCCUAAAGAGUAACGGAGGAGCACGAAGGUUGGCUAAUCCUGGUCGGACAUCAGGAGGUUAGUGCAAUGGCAUAAGCCAGCUUGACUGCGAGCGUGACGGCGCGAGCAGGUGCGAAAGCAGGUCAUAGUGAUCCGGUGGUUCUGAAUGGAAGGGCCAUCGCUCAACGGAUAAAAGGUACUCCGGGGAUAACAGGCUGAUACCGCCCAAGAGUUCAUAUCGACGGCGGUGUUUGGCACCUCGAUGUCGGCUCAUCACAUCCUGGGGCUGAAGUAGGUCCCAAGGGUAUGGCUGUUCGCCAUUUAAAGUGGUACGCGAGCUGGGUUUAGAACGUCGUGAGACAGUUCGGUCCCUAUCUGCCGUGGGCGCUGGAGAACUGAGGGGGGCUGCUCCUAGUACGAGAGGACCGGAGUGGACGCAUCACUGGUGUUCGGGUUGUCAUGCCAAUGGCACUGCCCGGUAGCUAAAUGCGGAAGAGAUAAGUGCUGAAAGCAUCUAAGCACGAAACUUGCCCCGAGAUGAGUUCUCCCUGACCCUUUAAGGGUCCUGAAGGAACGUUGAAGACGACGACGUUGAUAGGCCGGGUGUGUAAGCGCAGCGAUGCGUUGAGCUAACCGGUACUAAUGAACCGUGAGGCUUAACCUUACAACGCCGAAGGUGUUU